AGAGUUUGAUCCUGGCUCAGAAUGAACGUUGGCGGCGUGGAUUAGGCAUGCAAGUCGAACGAGUCUCUGGGGGGUAACUCCUAGAGGAAAGUGGCGAAAGGGGCAGUAAUGUAUGGGUAACCUACCUUGAGGUCUGGGAUAGCCAUUCUAACGGAUGGGUAAUACUGGACGGCCUGAGUUGUCGGCAUCGAUGACUUAGUAAAGGUUACGCCUCGAGAGGGGCCCAUAUGAUAUUAGCUAGUUGGUGAGGUAAUGGCUCACCAAGGCAAAGAUGUCUAGCGGGUGUGAGAGCACGACCCGCGUCAUUGGCACUGAGACACUGGCCAAACUCCUACGGGAGGCUGCAGUCGAGGAUCUUCGGCAAUGGACGAAAGUCUGACCGAGCAACGCCGCGUGUGCGAUGAAGGCCUUCGGGUUGUAAAGCACUGUCGAGGGGAAACAAGCCGUAAGGUUGAGUGACCCCUGGAGGAAGCACGGGCUAAGUUCGUGCCAGCAGCCGCGGUAAGACGAACCGUGCAAACGUUAUUCGGAAUCACUGGGCUUAAAGGGCGCGUAGGCGGGUGAUCAAGUCAAUGGUGAAAUCCUCCAGCUUAACUGGAGAAGUGCCUUUGAUACUGAUUGUCUAGAGGGAGGUAGGGGCAUGUGGAACUUCAGGUGGAGCGGUGAAAUGCGUAGAUAUCUGAAGGAACGCCAGUGGCGAAAGCGAUGUGCUGGACCUCUUCUGACGCUGAGGCGCGAAAGCUAGGGGAUCAAACGGGAUUAGAUACCCUGGUAGUCCAA
This 780-nucleotide ribosomal RNA is filed under the name uncultured bacterium. RNAcentral describes it as "bacterial SSU rRNA". It matches the Rfam family "Bacterial small subunit ribosomal RNA", at positions 8 to 798 of the family's 1533-position model. The record is from RNAcentral.